UUUUCCACGAGAACGACUCUUUACAAUCAGUGAAAACCGUUCUUGCAGUCGCUGGUAAUGGCCAUGCAUGGAGGCAGCAGUGCAGAAGCCAGGCUUUCAGUAAUGAAUACACGCUUAUCCGGCAGUGUGUGUUUUCCAAAGUACUUAAGUUCAAAAGGAUUUCAGACUAAAACCAGCUCAUAUGUCACACCACACAUUUUGCUGGAGGAGAGGACUGAACCUGGAUUGCAGCCUUCCACCAUCACAGAUCAUUUGAAUUCCAUCAUUCCUUGGGGUUUUAGAAUUACUUCCAGUAUUUUCGAAAGAGGUGGUUGGCUAAAGGCUGGGUCCUACUUCACCUGUAAUACCUUUCGCUACGCAGGCUGGCAAGGGAUCCACAGACACAGUGAGUAAUUCCACAGUGCAAUUUUGAAAUAAACAUCAUAUUUCCCCUAAUUAUCUGUAUAAAAAACACGCUCAGUUGUCCUCAUUGUGUAAUAAAUCCCCAUUUUUUAUGUCAUCAUUUUUAUGCUUUGCAC
Molecule: long non-coding RNA, 518 nt
Filed under: Gallus gallus (chicken)
Lineage: Eukaryota; Metazoa; Chordata; Aves; Galliformes; Phasianidae
Source: RNAcentral